CAGUAGCCGCGGUAAUACGAAGGGGGCUAGCGUUGCUCGGAAUUACUGGGCGUAAAGGGCGCGUAGGCGGACAGUUAAGUCGGGGGUGAAAGCCCGGGGCUCAACCUCGGAAUUGCCUUCGAUACUGGCUGUCUUGAGUACGGGAGAGGUGUGUGGAACUCCGAGUGUAGAGGUGAAAUUCGUAGAUAUUCGGAAGAACACCAGUGGCGAAGGCGACACACUGGCCCGUUACUGACGCUGAGGCGCGAAAGCGUGGGGAGCAAACAGGAUUAGAUACCCGUGUAGUCCCUGUCUCUUAUAC
Molecule: ribosomal RNA, 301 nt
Filed under: uncultured bacterium
Lineage: Bacteria
Description: partial 16S ribosomal RNA
Rfam family: Bacterial small subunit ribosomal RNA
Source: RNAcentral